Molecule: long non-coding RNA, 667 nt
Organism: Orbicella faveolata
Lineage: Eukaryota; Metazoa; Cnidaria; Anthozoa; Scleractinia; Merulinidae
Source: RefSeq, a predicted model, not a curated record
GAAUGCUCACUGCUUGUCACAUGACGGAAACUUAGUUACAUUUGGAAGCGAGAACGACUAGGUUUUCAAGGGGGUAAAUGGACCUGGCAUCGAUUUUAAUGACAAAUUCAAUAAACUAACUCACCUAUAUAUAUUUCAUUGAUGGUGUUUUCGAACAGUGCUUGAUAAAUAUCGGAUAACUAAUAAUUCAGGCUGCAUCUCUUUGAAAAGAUCCUGAACAGGAUUAAUGAUCUAAAAUCACUCGGAUCAUGGUGCAUCAAAUGAACUGAUGAAUAUUCCUCACUCUGGUCACGGAUUCAUCAGUUUCUUUGAUGCACCAUGAUCCGAAUAAUCUUGGAUCAUUGAUACUGAUCCAGAUCACCCCAAAGGAGCGCACCUUAAGUUACAUUAGGACGCGAGGAUGACUAGCGAUGUCAGGGUUGUAAGUGGAUUACAAUAUGAACAAAUGAAAAAUCAUACCAGAGCCCCUUUAACUCAAUAAUAACUUGUUUCUUGUCUAGACCUCUAAGCUAAGUCUUACAACACAUCUUUUUCACGAAAAGCCUCAGGAUCUCCCUCAAUCAGAUUUACAAACUUCGUUUAAUCACUGCCUGACAUUAAAACGAUUUAAGGACGCUUGGGGACUGGCUCGGAUCCUGGACACCCGAGACGCCUGGGUCGAACUUGG